RNAcentral lists this ribosomal RNA (233 nucleotides) under uncultured bacterium. RNAcentral's name for it is "partial 16S ribosomal RNA". It matches the Rfam family "Bacterial small subunit ribosomal RNA", at positions 96 to 334 of the family's 1533-position model. The record is from RNAcentral.
UGGCGGACGGGUGAGUAAUGUCUGGGAAACUGCCCGAUGGAGGGGGAUAACUACUGGAAACGGUAGCUAAUACCGCAUAACGUCGCAGACCAAAGAGGGGACCUUCGGGCCUCUUGCCAUCGGAUGUGCCCAGAUGGGAUUAGCUAGUAGGUGGGGUAACGGCUCACCUAGGCGACGAUCCCUAGCUGGUCUGAGAGGAUGACCAGCCACACUGGAACUGAGACACGGUCCAG